AUGUGGCCGUUCAAUGCCGAAAGAAGGGGUCUCUCCCAACUUGGCAGCCUUGAUUCACCCUUGAUUCAGGUGAGCCAUGGAGUCAGGGCUUGGCUUCUACAGAAAUGGUACCUCAGGUGAAGAACUUCGCUUCAGGAUGAGGACAGAAAUCGUGCUCUGGUGGCAGCGGGAGGCCCCAUUAGCUAAAGUGACGUUUCAGGUUAAGAACAGUUUCAGGUUAAGAACGGACCUCCAGAACGCAUUAAGUUCUUAACCCGACGUACCACUUUACUGCUAAAGCCCAGAUGCCUCACACCACAGAACUGGGCUAUGCCUGAUUAUCGUCUCCCAAAGCAACUUGUUGUUGUUUAGUCGAUUAGUUAUGUCUGCCUCUUCGUGACCCCAGUGAGCAGUGAGAAAAGGUGCAGGCCUCGGCAAAGGGUUAGAACCACGGAAUUGCAGAGUUGGAAGGGAUCCCAAGGGUCAUCUAGACCAACCCCCUGCAAUGCAGGAAUCUCAGCUGAAGCAGCCCUGACAUAGGGCCGCCCAACCUCUGCUUUAAAACUUCCAAAGAAGGCACCUUUUAUCAUAUGUGGUGGACGUGUAAGGUAACAAAAGCAUUCUGGGAAAUGAUAUAUAAUGAAUUGAAAAAAAUAUGUUUAAAAUAACUUUUGUUAAAAAAACCACAAGCUUCUUUAUUAGUAAUUGAAGUUACCAAGAUCCCAAAGGAGCAGAAAAGACUUUUUAUGUACGCAGCGACACCCAGACGGAUGUUCCUAGCCCAGAGAUGGAAAGAAGACAAAGUCCCUACAAGAGAAGAAUGGCAAACUAAGCUGUUGGACUAAACCGAAAUGGCAAAACUGACUGGAAAACUCAGGAACCAAGAAGACCAAAGCUUUAAUACAGUGGUACCUCUGGAUGCAAAUGGUAUCCAUUUCAGAGCCCUGUUCGCAUCCUGAAGUGAACGUAACAUGUGACUGCAUGUAUGUGAGUGUGCGGGUCGCGUUUCGCCGCUUCCGCACAUGCGCGUGACGUCAUUUUGAGCAUCUGCGCAUGCGUGAGUGGCGAAACCCGGAAGUAACGCAUUCCGUUACUUCAGUGUCGCCGCGGAACACAACCCAAAAAUGCUUAACCUGAAGCGUAUUCAUCCCGAGGUAUGACUGUAAAGAAUGGGAAAAAAUUAUAACUUACUUGAGAGACCACUGUAAGAAGAUGAAAACAUCAGGAGGAUUGCAAUAACACUUGUAACGUAGAAGAUACUACAGAUAAAACGGAGAGACGUAAAAUUUGGAUGAUGAAAUAAUAUGCAGUUGAAAAAGUUUAUAAUAGGACCCAUGGAGGGGAAGGUGUGAAGUCUUAGAGAUUCGGAGAAAUCUCUAAAUAUGGAUAUUCAUUUUGCAUUGUUAUAACUCUACACUUGCAAAACCAAAUACAAAUUAUUUCCAAAAAAAGACUUCCAAGGAAGGAGAGUUCACUGCCUCUCGUAGGAGUCCGUUCCCCUGUCAAACAGCUCUUGCUGCCAGAAAGUUCUUCUUGGCAUUGAGUUGGAAUCUCCUUUCUUGUAGCUUGAAGAGCGUCUGGAUUCUGGCCUCAAGACAGGCCCUUCCAAGAGAUCAGACUGGCAGCACUGACGAAGAAGAGCGAUGCCAGUCUGCCCGGGGAAUGGGCAUUGUGUCAUUACUGCAGGGACCAAAGCAGACUCAUUUGAGCUGUGUGACAGUAACUGGAAACUGGAGACAGAUUCGCUUGUCUCCAUGGAGACCGCACACUUACAAAACUGAGUGCGAUCAAACAGCUGCUACCCAGACAGCCUUGCAGGAGGAAGCGAAAAGUUUCAAACUGCAUGUGUGUCGCUUGAGAAGACUCCACUGGGCAUCGCGAAAGUCUCUCGCCUUCCCAGAAACGAACACCUGUUUCAUUUUCCUAAAACCAAGCAAAACCCCCGAUACACUGAUUAAGUUUGCUUGAGAAAAUGGAAUUUAUUUAUUUUUUUAGACAGGAUGUCUAGAAAUGUCUUUAAAUAUUCUUCCAUCCUUUAUGGGAGGGGUGGUUCUAGGUUCAGACUGCAACCCAAUCCAUCUAGGGCAUAUCGUCAAGUUAGCAUUUGUAAACACAGCAAAUUAGACGUUUGCAUUAGGAGGCGUGAAGCCAGCUUUCAGAGCAAAGCAGUGCAAUCUUGCACUGAGCCAACCUGGUAGACUUAACGGGUUUUAUUUACAGAUUUAAGGUCCGUAUAGUUAAAGCCAUGGUUUUCCCAGUAGUGAUAUAUGGAUGUGAGAGCUGGACCAUAAAGAAGGCUGAUCGCCAAAGAAUUGAUGCUUUUGAAUUAUGGUGCUGGAGGAGACUCUUGAGAGUCCCAUGGACUGCAAGAAGAUCAAACCUAUCCAUUCUGAAGGAAAUCAGCCCUGAGUGCUCACUGGAAGGACAGCUGAGGCUCCAAUCCUUUGGCCACCUCAUGAGAAGAGAAGACUCCCUGGAAAAGACCCUGAUGUUGGGAAAGAUGGAGGGCACAAGGAGAAGGGGACGACAGAGGACGAGAUGGUUGGACGGUGUUCUCGAAGCUACAAACAUGAGUCUGACCAAACCGUGGGAGGCAGUGGAAGACAGGAGUGCCUGGCGUGCUCUGGUCCAGGGGGUCACGAAGAGUCGGACACGACUAAAUGACUAAACAACAACAAUUUACAGAUUUAUGUCAAGAACAGAAUUGUACAGUCAGGAAGGGACCCCGAGGUUCAUCAAGUCCAUCCCUCUGCAAGUCCCAAGAUCGCAACACUCUUCGAGAACUCCUGCAUUAAGAAAAUGCCACCGUUUAUUUGAAUUGGUGUCAAAAUGGAACAGAUUGAUUGACAGCCUCUGUGGCUAUGGUCAAGUGAUUUCCCAAGAGCCAGAAAUAAAUGUAAAGAUGCCAUGCUGAUUGAAAUAAGGCUCUUCUAGUAUCUUCCUCAUCAUUUAGUGGCUCUCUCCGUUCUUGCCUAUAAUCCGAUUAAAAAUAUUCAUGCUUGUUCCCUUAUGGUGCUACUCCGUGCUAGCUUACUCGAGAGCAAGUCCCAUCAAGUUCAAGCGAGCUUUUUCUUGCGUGAGUCUGUACAGAUUUGCAGCCGAACAGCCCAGGAACUCUGGCCCUCCAGUUGCUGUUGAACUACAACGCCCAUCAUACUUUUUACAAAGCAGUUUUACAAUCAAUUUAAUAUUUCGAAGUUUGACUUCCUGCAGUUCCUUAAAUUUACUUUUUAAUAUCUUCUGUAUAUCCAAAUUCAUUUAAUUCGCUCAUUUAAUUAUCCACUUUAAAUAUAUACUCUCGUUAAACUGCAGGUUAUUACAAUAAUCCUGCCAAUGUUUUUACCUGUUUGCAAUUUAUCUGUUAAUAUUCAAGAAACCAUUUCCAUUCUUUUAUAAAAAGUUUGUUAUCAUGAUUUCUUAUUCUUCCGGGAAGUUUUGUCAUUUCUGCAUCAUCCAUAAGUUUUUGUAUCCAUUCUUCCUUUGCUGGAACUUCUUCUUCUUUCCAAUUUGGGGCAAGUUGCAUUCUUGCCGCUGUAGUAGCAUGUUGUUGUUUAGUCGCUUAGUCGUGUCCGACUCUUCGUGACCCCCUGGACCAGAGCACGUCAGGCAAUUCUGUCUUCCACUGCCUCGGUGGCAAUUCUGUCUUCCACUGCCUCCCGCAGUUUGGUCAAACUCAUGCUGGUAGCUUCGAGAACACUGUCCCACCAUCUCGUCCUCUGUCGUCCCCUUCUCCUUGUGCCCUCCAUCUUUCCCAACAUCAGGGUCUUUUCCAGGGAGUCUUCUCUUCUCAUGAGGUGGCCAAAGUCUUGGAGCCUCAGCUUCAGGAUCUGUCCUUCCAGUGAGCACUCAGGGCUGAUUUCCUUCAGAAUGGAGAGGUUUGAUCUUCUUGCAGUCCAUGGGACUCUCAAGAGUCUCCUCCAGCACCAGAAUUCAAAAGCAUCCAUUCUUUGGUGAUCAGCCUUCUUUAUGGUCCUGCUCUCACUUCCAUACAUGACUACUGGGAAAACCAUAGCUUUUACUAUACGGACCUUUGUUGGCAAGGUGAUGUCUCUACUUUUUAAGAUGCUGUCUAAAAAAGUAGAGACAUCACCUUGCCAACAUGAAUAAAUUUCCAUACAAUUUAGUUAGUUCUGUCCUUGUAAUUCCCAAAAGAAAAGCUUCUGGUUGUUGUUGUUUUACAAAAGUUAUUUUGAACAUCCUUUUCAAUUCAUUGCACAGUGCUUAGCACAUGUCUGGAGUAAAAAAAUUUCUUGUAGCCAUAGCUCUAGAAGUCAGAAUCUGUGAGAAGAAUUCAUUAGGAUGUGUACAGAAGCUAGGAGGGGAUAUAUUUAUUUGAUAUUAUCCUCCCUCCUUCACAUUUGUGUGUUCAGCAGAGUGCCACCCCUUUGCAGCUUAAAAAGGAAGUUUAGGCUGAUUUUAGCCUUUUGGUUUAAGUAAUCCAGGAUGCUUUAAGGCUGGAUUCUCCUGGUGUCGCCCCCUUUUCUCCCCCUUAUAACAAGAUAAACACACAAACAGUCUUGUAAAAGGCAAAAAUCACAUUUACACACUGGUGAAAGUAACAAAUACAGCAGAUUUGUUCCGGAGCAGGCUUAAAAAUGCUAAUUCAGUGAAAAAGACAUGCUUAAGUCUGGAGCUCAGACUUAGCAGGUGAUCUGUAUUGCUGAAUGAGGGCAAACAGGAAAGAGGAGGUGAGGAGAUAAUAUUUGGUUAUGCCCUCCCCAUGGUGGAAUCUAGGUAAAGGUAAAGGGACCCCUGACCACUAGGUCCAGUCGUGGCCGACUCCGGGGUUGCGGCGCUCAUCUCGCUAUAUUGGCCGAGGGAGCCGGCGUACAGCUUCCGGGUCAUGUGGCCAGCAGGACUAAGCCGCUUCUGGCAAACCAGAGCAGCGCAUGGAAACGCCGUUUACCUUCCCGCCGGAGUGGUACCUAUUUAUCUACUUGCACUUUGACGUGCUUUCAACCCGCUAGGUUGGCAGGAGCAGGGACCAAGCAAAGGGAGCUCACCCGGUCGCGGGGAUUCGAACUGCCGACCUUCUGAUCGGCAAGUCCUAGGCUCUGUGGUUUAACCAUCACUGUCUUCACUUGCUCACGGAGGAGCCGGUGUACAGCUUCCGGGUCAUGUGGCCAGCAGGACUAAGCCGCUUCUGGCAAACCAGAGCAGCGCAUGGAAACGCCGUUUACCUUCCCGCCGGAGUGGUACCUAUUUAUCUACUUGCACUUUGAUCUGCUUUUGAACUGCUAGGUGGGCAGGAGCUGGGACAGAGCAACGGGAGCUCACCCCGUCGCGGGGAUUCGAACCACCGACCUUCUGAUCGGCAAGUCCUAGGGUCUGUGGUUUAACCCACAGCGCCACCUGCGUCUCUAUGGUGGAAUCUAGACACAUAUAAAAAAACCGCUGUGAAAAUGGUGUGGUUUUUUUAAGCAUUCUGAAAAAUAUAUUGAAUUUGCCAUAAGCACACCAUCGCCAUCUAGUGUCACAUUCGUAUACUGCGCUCAAAAUGCACUGAAAACAUUAUAUUUGCAGCUGUAUAGCAGAGUCCCAUGUCAGGGCACAGUGGAAGUAGCACUCAAAGUUCUCUCUAGCAAACUUACAGGAAAACUCUGUGAGCUUCAGUUCAUAUCAUGUGCCUAUCAAGCAAACAUGCAUUGCUGGUUUGACUGCAUUGUAAAUAUCUCGCAGUCCCUUCUCAGGCAAAACUACUUACAUUCAAAUACACUUUCUUUUUUCCUUUUUUCCCCUUUUUUAAAAUUGGUAAAUACAACAUUCACAAACACAAAACGAAACACAAAACAAACCUAUUAUACAUACAGCUACUUAAUACCUAAAAAAAGAAUACAAUUAAACAUACAAUAACCAACAAAUAUCAACUUAAAACACAAAAGAAACAAAACAUGAAGACAUAAAUCUUGACUUCCUUCCACCCAUGUGUGACUUCCUUUAUUUCUUUUCUUCUUUUUUGCUGUGUUAUCAAUAUUAUUUUUAACUAUCUCCUCUUAUACCCAUUUCUUCUUUGUUUUUUACUCUAUAAAUUUCAUUCAAAUACACUUUCAUUAAAGCACCCAGAAGUUCUCUUGGUAGAGGUUUUGGCACUAUCUCUGCACACAUCUCUUUGUUGCGGCAAUAAGCCAACUCCUCAAAUCAGUCUUGGAUCACAAAGUGAUAUUUCACCCUGAUGACGGCAUUGUAAAUAUCCCAUAGAAUUAACAACAAUAAUUUAAAACAUUCAAAGGGUUAAAAUAACAACAGACUAAAAACAGGCUAAGGGACGCAGGUGGCGCUGUGGGUUAAACCACAGAGCCUAGGAUUUGCUGAUCAGAAGGUCGGCGGUCUGAAUCCCCGCGACGGGGUGAGCUCCUGUUGCUCAGUCCCUGCUCCUGCCAACCUAGCAGUUCAAAAGCAAGUCAAAGUGCAAGUAGAUAAAUAGGUACCGCUCUGGUGGGAAGGUAAACGGCGUUUCCCUGCGCUGCUCUGGUUCGCCAGAAGCGGCUUAGUCAUGCUGGCCACAUGACCCAGAAGCUGUAUGCCGGCUCCCUCGGCCAGUAAAGUGAGAUGAGCGCCGCAACCCCAGAGUCGGUCACGACUCGACCUAAUGGUCAGGGGUCCCUUUACCUUUACCUAAAAACAGGCUAAAACUCCCAUCAACUUUCUUUUUUUUUCUUUUUAAAAGAAAAGGAUAGGCUUGACUAAACAAAAAUGUUUUUAGCAGGUCCCGGAAAUAGUGCCGUGAAGACGCCUGCAUGUUAUCAACUGGCAGGGAGUUCCGAAGUGUAAAAGUGCCACCACAGUAAAUGAUUGAUUUCUUACAGAUAUGGAAUGGAUACCAGAGCCAGUUCUGCAGAUCAAAGCAGCUGAGAGGGCAGAUAUGGGGUAAGACGAUUAUUUGGGUUCAAAAAGAAGAAUGGCAGACGAAAAUAAUGGACUAUGCAAAAUUGGACAAAACGACAGGAAAGAUUCGAAACCUGCGGGACCAGAGAUUGACAGAAGAUUGGAAGAAGUAUACAAACUAUUUGAAGAGCAACUGUAAUCAACAAAUUAUGCUAGUAGAACUACAAGAGGUUUUGUAGGGAGAAAUAUAUGAAGUGCUACAAAGUAGAUAAAGAACAGAGAUAUUGGUUAUGAGUUUUAAAUGUAACAGGGAAAAUAAGAAAUGUAUACUAAGAGAUUAGAUUGGAAAAUGUUCAGACUGGACUGAUGGAAGUCAAAAUAUUGAAUAAGAU
Podarcis lilfordi (Lilford's wall lizard) is the source of this 7196-nucleotide non-coding RNA. The record is from the annotation of a GenBank genome assembly. NCBI's taxonomy places the organism in Eukaryota, Metazoa, Chordata, Lepidosauria, Squamata, Lacertidae.